GGAAACUGUUAAAUUCCUCAAACAUGUAACUAAAACUUGUGGGAUAGAGCAAGAGCAAUCUUGGAAAUGUAUCUCAUUAGAUGACUAUUUUCAAAAACAGAAAGAGAACACAUCAACAAACUCAUGAAUCAUCUUAUAGAAUUGGAAAAAGAGGAGUGAAAGCGAAAGCCUGGGAGGCUAGCCGGAGACCGAUCUAGCAACUGAAGCAGCAUGGCCAAGUCUUGUGGAGUGCACCUGAGUAGGGAGGCCCUCAAGAAGGUGGAUGUCUUCAGGCAAAAUCUUUUCCAGGAGGCUGAGGAGUUCCUCUACAGAUUCUUGCCACAGAAAAUCAUAUACCUGAACCAGCUCUUGCAAGAUGACUCCUUCAAUGUGGCUGACCUGACCUCCCUCCGGGCCCCACUGGAUAUCCCUAUCCCAGACCCCCUGCCAAGGAUGAUGAGAAGGAAACAGAUAAACAGGAUAAGAAAGAAAUCCCUAAGUGUGGAUUCCUCCCUGGGAAUGAGAAAGUCUUGUCCCUGCUUGCCCUCGUUAAGCCAGAAGUCUGGACUCUCAAAGAGAAGUGCAUUCUGGUGAUCACAUGGAUCCAGCACCAGAUCUCUAAGAUUGAGGAUGGAAAUGAUUUGGGGGUAGCAAUCCAGGAUAAGGUGCUGGAGAGGGUGAAUGCAGUUAAGACCAAAGUGGAAGCCUUCCAGACAACCAUUUCCAAGUACUUCUUAGAACAUGGGGAUGCUGUGGCUAAGGCCUCCAAGGAGACCCAUGUAAUGGAUUACCGAGCCUUGGUGCACAAGCGAGAUGAGGCAGUGUAUGGGCAACUUAGGGCCAUGGUGCUGGGCCUGAGGACCUUCUAUGCUGAGCUCUAUCAUAUCAUCAUCAACAACCUGGAGAAAAUUAUCAAUCCAAAAGGCGAAGAGAAGCCAUCUAUGUACUGAACCCAGGGCUAGAAGGAAAAUAAAUGACCUAUACUUUGUGUGGAAAAA
Molecule: RNA transcript, 977 nt
Organism: Otolemur garnettii (small-eared galago)
Lineage: Eukaryota; Metazoa; Chordata; Mammalia; Primates; Galagidae
Gene name: proteasome activator complex subunit 2 pseudogene
Exons: 1
Source: RefSeq, a predicted model, not a curated record